Molecule: non-coding RNA, 22 nt
Filed under: Arabidopsis thaliana (thale cress)
Lineage: Eukaryota; Viridiplantae; Streptophyta; Magnoliopsida; Brassicales; Brassicaceae
Source: RNAcentral
AGGAUAUGCUCUUAGAAGAUGC